Molecule: ribosomal RNA, 340 nt
Filed under: rhizosphere bacterium UMCV2
Lineage: Bacteria; Bacillati; Actinomycetota; Actinomycetes; Micrococcales; Micrococcaceae
Description: bacterial SSU rRNA
Rfam family: Bacterial small subunit ribosomal RNA
Source: RNAcentral
GGGGGGAUUAGUGGCGAACGGGUGAGUAACACGUGAGUAACCUGAAAUUGACUCUGGGAUAACGCCUGGGAAACCGGGUCUAAUACUGGAUACGACCUUCUGGCGCAUGCCAUGUUGGUGGAAAGCUUUUGUGGUUUUGGAUGGACUCGCGGCCUAUCAGCUUGUUGGUGGGGUAAUGGCCUACCAAGGCGACGACGGGUAGCCGGCCUGAGAGGGUGACCGGCCACACUGGGACUGAGACACGGCCCAGACUCCUACGGGAGGCAGCAGUGGGGAAUAUUGCACAAUGGGCGCAAGCCUGAUGCAGCGACGCCCCGUGAGGGAUGAAGGCCUUCGGGUU